CAGCGAGGGCGUAGCAAUACGCCUGUCGGCGACCGGCGCACUGGUGAGUAACACGUAUGCGACCUGCCCCCUACAGGGGUAUAACCCGUAGAAAUGCGGACUAAUCCCCCAUAGUCCUGGGUGCUGCAUGGCAUUCAGGGGAAAGGCCAGCCGGUAGGGGAUGGGCAUGCGGCGCAUUAGCUAGUUGGCGGGGCAACGGCCCACCAAGGCAACGAUGCGUAGGGGUUCUGAGAGGAAGGUCCCCCACACUGGUACUGAGGCACGGACCAGACUCC
RNAcentral lists this ribosomal RNA (275 nucleotides) under uncultured Bacteroidota bacterium. RNAcentral describes it as "uncultured Bacteroidetes bacterium partial 16S ribosomal RNA". It matches the Rfam family "Bacterial small subunit ribosomal RNA", at positions 66 to 339 of the family's 1533-position model. Lineage: Bacteria; Pseudomonadati; Bacteroidota. The record is from RNAcentral.